UUGUUGCUAUAAUUGCCAACCCUGAAAUCUGAAUCACAGCCGACGGUUUAUUUGGCGCUGGUUUUGGGAAAAGCGGGUCUACUUCCAUUUGGGUAGUUGUCCGGGGACUCGCAAAACGCUUGAGAUCGGGCUGGUCGGUUGGCUCGUGAGAACAGUGAUGGCUUGUAGUGCGGAUAGGGGAGCAGGAUGAGAGAGAGCGAGGGACGGAUGACGGAGGAGCGGCCACCGCCGUCCAUCGCCGGCGACGGGG
Molecule: long non-coding RNA, 250 nt
Filed under: Phoenix dactylifera (date palm)
Lineage: Eukaryota; Viridiplantae; Streptophyta; Magnoliopsida; Arecales; Arecaceae
Description: long non-coding RNA (PDAC_LNC015254)
Source: RNAcentral